UCAGUGGAGUUGUCAAUGUCUUAUAUGUAUAUAUUCACUUAUUGUUUGAUCUAAAAUUGAUAUGCACCUGUUUUUAUGUUUUAGGUUACACUAUGGAAAAACCAUGGGAUAUUUCGAAUUGUUCUUCUAUACUUCCAACUAUCUCACUUGAUGAAAAGGUUGAUGAGGAUGAACAUGAAGUUCAAGACUCGGAUUGGUUGGUCUUAUGUCAACUAACUGCCAAGAGCAUCUUUGCAUAUUAUGAAAACUACAUACAUAAGACUCCAUGCCGAACAUCCAUUCGAACAGGUCAUAAAUUCAUAGAGGAGAUCCUGAAUGGAAGUGAAAUAAGAUGUUAUCAAGCUUUUCGUUUAGGAAAAUCUGUGUUUUUGGACUUAUGCUACGAAUUGAACCACAAGUAUGAUUUGGAGCCCACCAGAGGAAUGUCUACUUAUGAAGAGGUGGGCAUUUUCUUAAUGACAUGUGCCCAUGGUGUUGAUAAUAGAUUGUUGCAAGAAAUAUUCAACCAUUCUGGUGAGACUAUCUCAAGACACUUCCACAGGGUCCUAAAGGCUAUUGCUAAAUUAGCCAAUGAUAUUAUUGCACCGCAUCCUGAGUAUAACAAGGGAAAAGGGUAUCAUAAGCCUCAACACCAGCGAUACAUGCCAUUCUUUAAAGUGAGUUUACUUUUUUAAUGUGUAUAUAAUUAUAAAUGUAUAGUUUAAAUUGAUUAUAAACUCUUUUAUGAUUUUCAGGAUUGUAUUGGAGCAAUUGAUGGUACACAUGUAAAGGCUCAAUUACCACAAGGACAAGCAAUACCAUACAUUGGACGAAAAGGGUACGCCACUCAAAACAUUCUUGCAGUGGUAGAUUUCAAUAUGUGUUUUACAUUCGCUUGGGCUGGAUGGGAAGGAGCUGCACAUGAUAAUAGGAUUUUUGGUGAAGCUAUUCGUAAUCCUGAACUUAAUUUUCCUAUUCCAAAAGGAGAAAAAUAUUACUUGGUUGAUGCUGGAUAUACACAUAUGCCGGGAUAUAUGGGUCCUUAUAGAGGUGAGAAUAUAAGAUAUCAUCUUGAUGAUUUUCGUCGGGCUAGGACAAAGCAAUUACGUCAACCGAGAAACUUAAAGGAAAGGUUCAAUUAUUACCACUCUUCGUGUAGAAAUUGUGUUGAACGAACUUUUGGAGUUUGGAAAGCAAGAUGGAAUAUUUUGGCUGACAUGCCUUAUUUUCAUAUUGACACCCAAAGAGAAAUUGUGUUAGCAACUAUGGCUAUCCAUAAUUACAUAAGAAAGAAGAAUAUUCCAGAUAAUGCAUUUCAGGUAGCAGAGGAUGAAAAUUAUGAACCAAAUAAUGAUCGCGUUGUUGAAGCAUUUGUUGAGGCUUCGGUUGUAGAAGAUGCAGGUGGAUCUAAGAAUUCCAGUUGGAUAGCCAUGCGAGAUUCAAUUGCUAUGGAGAUUGCUAGUCAAAAUUGAAAAAUAUAAUUUAAAUUGUAAGAAGUUUCAAAUAUUAUUGCUUUGUUUUGAUGUUGGAUGAUAUCUAUAGAUGCUAUGUUUUUUUCGUUAUAUAUGGAAAGACCAAAUAUAAUUAUGGUAAUAUAUUGGGG
RNAcentral lists this long non-coding RNA (1582 nucleotides) under Salvia miltiorrhiza (redroot sage). RNAcentral describes it as "long non-coding RNA (SMIL_LNC005500)". Lineage: Eukaryota; Viridiplantae; Streptophyta; Magnoliopsida; Lamiales; Lamiaceae. The record is from RNAcentral.